UGCCCGUUUGAAGACUCAUAAAUUUGCUUACACGCAUGGAAAGGAUUGGUUUUACUUUUGCGUACAGGCCCAUAAUUUUUUUUAUGCGGUCUACUCCUUUCGAAACAGUCCUAGCCAUGAAUUCCGUUUCCACCCUUCCCUACACCCCUAUUCUGCUUCUUUCCCAACCCCUUCCCUCCUUCCCCUACGCCACCGCUCCCAACAACUUUGCUUUGUCGCCUUUAUGCCGAUCCCGUUCCCCCUCCAUCCUCGCCUCCCACACCCCCCCCCUCCACCAAUCCCUUGCAGGUCUACCAUCUCUUUCACUACUCCUUUUCCCCUAUUUACUCCAAGUUUUCUGCUUCUCACCUGAUCCCAGUCCCCACUCCUCCCAUCUUUUCGUCGGUCAGUUGCCUCUUUCUUGAUCCCCCUUGUCCCCUAUGUUUGUUUCGACCAUCUCCUUCGCUCCUGACCUCUCGGACCAAACUGAUCCGGCACCGCUUGGUGAUCCACUUCACUGUCCGUAUUUUGACUUCCGAGGCUCAAGGGAUUUCAUCGACGGAUGCUUCGAUGACGCAUGAACGAAGAUCGCCAUGUUCCUUUCUCCAGACUCUUCUCUCCCACAAAUCGACCGGUUCUAGAUGAGUUUUCUAGCUUUCGUUUUUCUUCCUUGCCUCAUCUAAUCUUCCGAUCUACUUUCUCUUUUUUUCAUUUUUUUUUUCCAAUUUUUUCGUCAUCUCCUCCACUGCAACCUUCAUCCUAAUCCCAACCCAAUCCCUAAUCCCAAACUUAACCCUAACGCUAACCCCAAUCCCAACCGUAAACCCUAAUCCUAACUAAUAACCCACUAGUAUUAUUCAUCAACCCAUUAACCCAAAUCCCAAUAAUCCAUUGGCCCCCGCGUCGGAGCCCACAAACUCGUCAAUGCGGAUUUGUAACCCAUUAACUCGAAUCUGCUAACUCGCUUAUCUGGAAUCGUUAGCCCACCAAUGCAAAUUCAUCAAUACAAACUGUUAACUCAAUAACCCUAAUCCACCGAUUUUGAUUGCCUAAUUUUUUUUUUUCUUCUCUCCCUCCAUUAGAAUCUUCCUCAUUUCUCUGUCACUAAUUAAGGAUGGUAGUCCGGCGAUGGCCCACCCGCUCCCUUAACCAACAAGGCACACCUGGCUGCAGUCUUUAAAUUGAUUGAUAAAUAUAUACCCUUUAAACUAUUAUAUAUAUACAUAUAUACCAACAUAAAACCCGAGCGAUCCUCUAAGCUUCCCUAUCCGGUCGCCCUAUUCGGCCGCUCCAAGCCUCCCACCCGAUUGAGACUCCUGAGGACGGAAAAUAACAGAGGAAAACCGGGGGAAAACAUAGGAAAAAUCAAGGGAAGACGGAAAAAAUUAAAAGGUAUGGAUUUUUGGAUAAUUUUUGGGACGGGUUUUGGUGGUAAGAUUUUAAACGAGUUGGGAGGGCAAAUUUCAUGGAUACCCUACCCUGUCGCUAUCCCUAUUCCUAAUUCUAAAAUGAAUGGAUGGCUACUGCAGAAGCAGCAGCAGCAGCAAACCUCUCAAACUUCUCUAUUGGACAUUCUCUUUCUAGGAGUGGAAGGCUGCUGCAUACACAGCAGCAACCCCCCUCUCAAAUCGCUCCCUCAGAUGAUGUUUUUUGGACUCACUGAUGAGAAAUAUUUUUUUUUCUCAUAUGAUGGAUGGCCUAAAGGAUUGGAAGGCUGCGGCAUCCUCGACAGCAACCUCCUAACAGACUGAUGAGGGAAUAAAAUUAUCGAGAAAAAAACAUAAUAUAUUCUAAACAUAAGAUAAUCCAGACAGGUGACCCAUUUCCAUUUGGAGAAGGCUUCUCCAAUGCCCAAUUAAGAUUGAACUUCAUUUCAUUAAAACAAAAUCUGAUGAGACUCCGGAGGCAAGGGGCACUUCUGUCCUACCCCUCCACCUUCAUGCCACUGUUUUCCCCUGUUUGCCUCGACAGGUCGGUCGAUGAUAUGGAUGACGGCGCAGACGAUGAUGUGGCAUGUUAGGUGGUAUGGGAUGCGGAUGUGUUGCCCUGGUUUGGAGAAAUUCAUUGUCUGGACCGAUGGAUAAGGCGCAAUUGGGAAUUCAUGAAAUACAAGGGGUUAAUGUGACGUGGGUGGGGUUAAUGUGACGUGGGUGGUCUGGCAAGAAUUUCUCUCUAGUGUGAGAGGUUGACAUGGCGAUGAUGAUUACAUUAUAAUUCCAAUGUGGCAUUCCUGCUGA
Non-coding RNA from Elaeis guineensis (African oil palm), 2216 nucleotides. Lineage: Eukaryota; Viridiplantae; Streptophyta; Magnoliopsida; Arecales; Arecaceae. The record is from RefSeq and is a predicted model, not a curated record.